Vulpes vulpes (red fox) is the source of this 107-nucleotide small nuclear RNA. NCBI's taxonomy places the organism in Eukaryota, Metazoa, Chordata, Mammalia, Carnivora, Canidae. The record is from Ensembl.
AUGCUUGCUUCGGCAGCACAAGUGCUAAAAUUGGAGCGAUACAGAAGAGAUAAGCAUGGCCCCCGAACAAGGAUGAUAUGUGUAUUUGUGAAGCAUUCCAUAUUUUU